RNAcentral lists this small RNA (108 nucleotides) under Marmota monax (woodchuck). The record is from RNAcentral. Lineage: Eukaryota; Metazoa; Chordata; Mammalia; Rodentia; Sciuridae.
GCUGGGUAUGGAAGCUGUAUACCUGUAAUCCCAGAGACUCAGGAGGCAGAGGCAGGAGGAUAGCAGAUUCAAGGUCAGUGUCAGCAACUUAGUGAGACCCUGUCUCAA